This 1106-nucleotide long non-coding RNA is filed under the name Sus scrofa (pig). RNAcentral's name for it is "lncRNA (ENSSSCG00070023161.1)". Lineage: Eukaryota; Metazoa; Chordata; Mammalia; Artiodactyla; Suidae. The record is from RNAcentral.
UCUGUUCUGGAGGGACUUUUGUCAGCUGAACCAGGACCUUCAAGCCAGGCUGCUUCUCUGUUCUUUGAAUAGUCUGUCUUCUGGGGCCACAGGUCCAGCGGUGAGUGGGAGCCAAGAGGAACCCUGUGGGUGCUGGGCUGUGCUUGCUUCCCAGGCCCAGUUGGGGAAGCCGUUGGAGGUUCAACCACAGCCACGCCUGGCCUGUCCUCCUUUUGGUGGAAGCCAGACUCCUCCUCUGAAGCCAUGAGCCCCUCCUGCCCUGCCCUCCCAUCCACGGCAAAGCUGGGGCUGUGGUGGCUCCUUCUGAUCCCUGCAGGUGAGUGGGGGCUAUCUCUAGGGGACAUAGCUCUUUCCACCUUGGGAAGGUGGGGAGCACCCGCUGCAUCACCUUAACCUCCCCAAGCCUCAGCACCUGCUCCACAUCUGCAAAAUGCCAACAGCCCCGUGGCCCUCCCAGGGCUAUUGUGUGAGUGACCCAGAAUGAGAACUUAUGAGCAGUGCCUGGAAUGCCCUCUGCACAUGGCAGCUGCUGUUAUCGAUGUUCUGGAUUUUAAAGCAGUAGUUCUGACCUACUCAGGCAGCCAAACCCUGAAGAGGUGAAGCUGUCUGCAGAACAUGGUGAAAACAGAUGCAGAGGGUGCCGUCAAUCUGGGGACACUACUGCCUAGCUGAUGAGAGGGGGCAAAUGCCAGUGGUUUGAGGAAAAAUAGAGGAGAUGCUCCAAGUGGAAGAGGAUUUCUUGGCUCAUGUUAGUGGUUCAUUAUAAGCCGAUGGAAGUGAGAGUUCCCGGGGCUGGGUUCACAGAGACGUGUGAAGCUCUCCCUGUUGCAGUCAGCAUGACUCCACCCGGAGUCCCGCUCCCCACCCUGAUGUCCCCUGGGGGCUCCCCAGUUCCAGUCUGAUUCUCAUCCCUGGUCUGGCUUCUUCCCACUGCCCUCCACCCUCUCAGCACUUGUUUUCACCUCUUAGCCUUUGGUCAUGGAGUAAUGGACCUUUCUUGAGAUUCAACCAUGUGCUGGUUGCUUCGUAAGCUCUAAUGGACAUUAUUAUAUCUCAUCCUCAGCAGUGUUCUGAAAUCUGCUCUGGAUUAGUGUGCCCAUUUUGCA